RNAcentral lists this ribosomal RNA (253 nucleotides) under uncultured bacterium. RNAcentral describes it as "partial 16S ribosomal RNA". It matches the Rfam family "Bacterial small subunit ribosomal RNA", at positions 524 to 776 of the family's 1533-position model. The record is from RNAcentral.
UACGAGGGGGUCAAAUGUUGUUCGGAAUCACUGGGCGUAAAGGGAGCGUAGGCGGGUUUUUAAGUUGGAUGUUUAACCCCGGGGCCCAACCCCGGAUCGGCAUCCAAAACUGGGAAUCUUGAAUAGGGGAGAGGUCAGUGGAAUUGGAGGUGUAGCGGUGGAAUGCGUAGAGAUCUCCAAGAACACCAGUUGCGAAGGCGGCUGACUGGACCCAUAUUGACGCUGAGGCUCGAAAGCAUGGGGAGCAAACAGG